Molecule: long non-coding RNA, 200 nt
Filed under: Elaeis guineensis (African oil palm)
Lineage: Eukaryota; Viridiplantae; Streptophyta; Magnoliopsida; Arecales; Arecaceae
Description: long non-coding RNA (EGUI_LNC078560)
Source: RNAcentral
AUGCAUUAAGAUAAGAUCCAUCGAUCUUGAUAGAGAGGAGUAGUCUUAUGGCAUUCGAAAGGCUAAGUCUGAGAGUUUGUAGCUACAGCAGUGUGAUUGAUGUAAAAGAGUUCUAUAGAAAUCAUAAUUAAAUUUGAGCUAAUCGAAUCUAUUAUACGACUGAUGUUAAAGUUUAAUGAUUUAUCCAUGAUCUGCCAUCU